CUCAGCGGUGCGGAAGCAUUUACUCAGAACAUCGCACACCUGUUAAUCCUCAGCGGCAAAAAAAAAGAAAAAGAAAAAGAAGAAGUUGCAUGCUGCGUGAACUCCAGCAUGUCCUUCACUCCAUCCAUCCUCUUCUGUCUUCUGUUCCUGGAAAUUCAGACUUAACACAGAAAAGGCACAGCAGGAGCUCAUACAGUCAGAGGAAGCAAGUGUUUGGCUUCAUGUGCUCGGAUGAAACACAAUGGCAACUUCCUGUUUUCUUUCUACUCGAAAGAACUUCCCACAACAUCAGAUGCACGUAUAGUCACCAAUAAUAAAUAAAGAAGAAGAAGUGAAGUCUAGCCUUCACAAUGAGGAGCUUUGACUGACAACAGUAGGCAUGUACUAUUCACAGAGGAGUUGUUUAUACAUUCAAUGAAAGAUUAAAGGACUAUGAAGGAGGACAUAUAAUAACGUCAGCUUCUACUGACAGCAAAGCUUGAAGACCCCAGUGGAUUGUUUUACCUGUUUUUUUUUUUUUAUUAUUAUUAUUAUUAUUAUUAUUUAAAGCUUUGCGUUUAGAUAUUUAUUGCACAGUUUAGAUGAGAGAGGUGUAUCUAUGAAGUGUGAGUGUGCAGCGAUGGAGAAGCUCGGAGAAGAUGGCUUUGAGAGAUGUGAACAGUUUGGGGACUGGUCCAGCUCUGAACACUGGGAUGAGGAUCACAGGGACAGCAGUGGCUUUGGGGACUGGGCUAGUUUUAAAGACGGACUCAGUGAAGAGAGUGAUUCUGCAGACUUAUUGUCUCAGGAAGGACAGACUUCUGGCCAUGAACACAAGGUAGAGAGAGGUGAUGAGCCCUGGAUUGUGAUCCAUGAUUGCUUUCAUGUUGAGGAGAUUGUGAGAGAUACAGACAUGAUGGAAUUUCUGCCACUGUCACAGCUACUGCACAAUUCCACACACACCCCUCCUCCUCCAGCAGUACUAUUAAGAAAGGGUGCUAGCUUUUACCACAGUUUGCUGUGUGAGCCGAAGUCUUCAAGCGUAACGAGUCCUAAACCCAAUUUGCAUUCCCACAAGCAGCUCACUGAUGCACUACAGCUCAAACAAUCCAAUACUUCACAGCUAACAGCACCCACGUGGUGUCAGACUUCUCCUGGAUUCUUCUACCAGAUCUCUCACCGAUGGCUCAGCCAGAACAGUUUGAGACUACAGAAUAAUCAGGACAACAAAAAAGACCUGCUGUAAUGACAGUGAAACACUGACUACGUUUACAUGGACAGCAGUAAUCUAAUUAUUAUCUUACUCUGAGUAAGACAAUAUAGUGAUUAAGGUGUUUACAUGAGUCGCUUUUAGAAUACUCCUUACAUGUUCCCGUUUUACAUGUUAUAGAACGUAAUUAGAUUAACGGUACAUGCAUUAUGUCAUCGCGCCACGCCGUCCAACGUUCCCUCCAGAAUUUCACAUAUCAACAUAUAGUUCAUCUUCGUUAUGGUACCGUAUACAGUUUUGGGUGUUUUUAUAAAAAAAAAUUUACGAACGCUUUAAGUGCAGUUAAUUAUUUGUCCUGCUAUAUGUGCAAGUAGACGACUGCUUGAAGCCGUGGGCUGCGUCCCAAACCGCGUACUUACCGUCUAUAUAGUAGCCGAGAUGCAUGUAUUUUUCCCCACUACAGGCCUAUAUUAAGCAAGUAUGCCGUUUGGGAAGCAGCUGUGCUCUCUUGUUCGCCGUGAAACGUUGAGCACUGCCGUGUGUGAUCAUGUCCUGUCGCAAAAUGCGGUGAAAACUCUCACACGACGUUAAUAGUGUGAUUAAGGUGUUUACAUAUCUGUAAUACACGUUGAUAAUGCGACUAAAACAGGAGUACUCCACAUGUCUUAAUUCCAUUAGUGUUUACUUUGAAUAUGACCUUAAUCAGAUUAAGGUAAUUAAAAAUUGCUGUUUACAUAGUAGUUUCUUAAUCACAGUAUUGUCUUAAUCGGAUUAAUAGUGGAUUAUUGCUGUCCAUGUAAACGCACUGACUGAUAAACUGUGCACAGAAUAACAUCAGUCUUUCUGAUAAUUGAGAUAAUAAAAACAAGUGUACCAACACAGGAAAAUACUUUAUUGUUGAGCUUCACACAUUAGGUGUCUAUUCUGAAUGCAAAAUAAAUUCACUCUAUAUGUACAGGGACAUCUCAAAAAAUUAGAAUAUCGUGGAAAAGCAGGUCCGGACUGGCCAUCGGGAGCACCAGGAGAAUUCCCAGUGGCCUGACAACUGAUUUGGCCUGCUGCCCUGCUGUUUUUUUAUUUUUAAUUUAUUUUAUAUUAUUGCAUGUCCUAUGUACUUGAGUUUUGGACUUUGGCAUUUGAUAAUAAAUCGAAAUAAAUCACUACCAUUCUCCUCAGCUCCGGUGAACAGUUUUGAACAGAGUGCUCAAUGCACAGAGCGAGGAUGGAGAGGAAAGGGCCAGGUGGAGCAGAAAGAAAGCCCUCUGAAAAGAAGCAGCAAAAAUGUAACAAAAUUACUGACCUGUUCAGGGCUUCAAGUGCAGGUCAGUCUCCUCUGUAAAUAUUGUAGCUUUGUGUUCGCUAACUUAGCUAAAUAAGUAUUAACCAAAGGUGCACUACUCACAAAUGUUAGCACUAUUACUAUCGUCACUCAAAAUAUGCUAAAGGACAACAUUAUCUACUGAAUAGUUAUAAUACUAAGUAAUUUAGCAGACAAAUAUCCAAAUUUAUUAUUUUAAAUGUUGAAAUUACACAUACAGCUAGGGCAAGCAACAACAACAAACUUUAUAAACCAUAAAAAGCAACAUUAUGCUCAGUAUUAGGAUUUUUCUAAAUAGACAUUUUCCUGAUGUAGUUAGUACUGCACUUAUUACAACACAUAUUUAGGCAAUUUAAAAAAUUGUCUUCAAAUAUGUGAGGUUGAAAAAAACAACAACAACUUUUUCUCCUAUUUUUCACAAUAAAGUGGUGAGAGUAAGCUUGCACUGGCUCAGUGAAAUGGUCACACUUGAGGGUUAACAUGAGAUGACUGGUAGAGGUAAAUAAAUAAAAAUUAAAUAUAAUUUAAUAUAUUUGUAUGAAAUAUAAUAUGGUUGAACCUCAGGUAUUUUAAGUAUUUUUAAGUCUCAAAAAAAAAACAUUGUCCUAAUGUGAUACAUUAACUUGAAAUGAUGUUAAUGAAAUUUAGAUUCUGUGCUCACAAAUUACAGUGAGGUUAAACAGUUUUCAUUUUCUAACAAUGUGGAGACAGUUCUAUUCAUAGCCUACAUUAAAAUGGCAAAACAAAGUCUCUCUUGUUUACCUCUCUUCUGCAUUUAAUGUACUUUUGUGACUGAAAAGUAGAGAGUUACUGGCAGCUUUGCACUACUGGUGUUUGUUAAAUGCUUGGCAUACCCAUGUAAGCUGAUAUAAAUUAUGACUGCUCCACUACCUCUAGGUUUCUUGUUUGUUUUUAUGGGAUGGCCACACUGUGUGCAAUAAAUUUAAUUUAGGAAAGAAAAAAUAAAAUGUACUUCUGUAUUAAUGUGCUGCUCUGUUUUGAUGCUCUGCCUGAAUUAGAGUUUCUGUUUAUUUAAUUUUAUUAGUGUUAUCUCCUCGGCUUUACCUGCUACACUGUUAUAUUAUUUGUUACAAGUCUUUAAAAGGUAAGGACAUUAUAUUUAUUAUUGUGCGCAGACUGUUUAUCAGACUUGAAGUCGGUAGGGGCUUUUUCUCUUACUGGAACUUUUUGUCUUGGUAAUUUUGUUGGUUAGUUCAGCUUACUCUCCGAGUUGUUUUCACAUUGUGGACAACGUUCUGUUUUUGUAGGAAACACUGCUGUCUCAUUUGUUUAUGGAGACUUCGGGUGUGUGGGUGUUUGGUGGAUUGUGAGAGUAAGCAGAACAUGCCAAUGCUUUGAAGGAUGUGAACUGAGACAGAGUAAUGUUAUUUAAUUGCGAAUCUGUUUUUAGAGGAUUUAAACCUAACAUUGUGAACAAAUUAUAUUAUAGAAUUCAGGCAAUUUUACUGGGGUUAUCUCAUACAGUGUACAAGUAUUAAUCUGGAAAGACCUUUGUAAUAUUACAGUCUAAAACUGGAUUUAAAGAGUAGCAAAUCAGCAAAUGAAUCACUUGAAAAUGAAUCAUAUGAGAGUGUGAGACUCCCGGCCUGAAAUUAUGUCCCAGUCCAGCCCUGUGGAAAAGUAUCAUGGAACUUUCAUAUAUUCUAGAUUCAUUACAUAUAAAGUGAAACAUUACGGCUUGUCUGAAUUUUCCCAAACACACCUUGAUGAUCCUCAAACCUUUUGGGAGAAUGUUCUGUGGACUGAUGAGUCCACAGAACAUAUCAUGCCAAAUGAAAAUGAUUUAGUAGAUCAGUCAAAUGAGGCCCCACCUUGCAACAAAGUCAAGAUGUAUUGCCUACUGUUUUUUAGGUUUACACCAAAAGUCCCUUGUCAUCAUACUUGUCAGCACCAGCACUGAGAAAUUUAGGCUGUCAGUAUCUCACCAUCAUCUUUUCAACUGUUACACUAUCAGUACAUUUUGCAUCAUACAGUGAGGGGAAAAAAGUAUUUGAUCCCCAGCUGAUUUUGUACGUUUGCCCACUGACAAAGAAAUGAUCAUUCUAUAAUUUUAAUUGUACAUUUAUUUGAACAGUGAGAGACAGAAUAACAACAAGAAAAUCCAGAAAAACGCAUGUCAAAAUUUUAUAAAUUGAUUUACAUUUUAAUGAGGGAAAUAAGUAUUUGACCCCUCUGCAAAACAGGACUUAGUACUUGGUGGCAAAACGCUUGUUGGCAAUCACAGAGGUCAGACGUUUCUUGUAGUUGGCCACUAGCUUUGCACACAUCUCAGGAGGGAUUUUGUCCCACUCCUCUUUGCAGAUCUUCUCCAAGUCAUUAAGGUUUCGAGGCUGACGUUUGGCAACUCGAACCUUCAGCUCCCUCCACAGAUUUUCUAUGGGAUUAAGGUCUGGAGACUGG
Long non-coding RNA from Ictalurus punctatus (channel catfish), 4928 nucleotides. NCBI's taxonomy places the organism in Eukaryota, Metazoa, Chordata, Actinopteri, Siluriformes, Ictaluridae. The record is from Ensembl.